Molecule: long non-coding RNA, 756 nt
Filed under: Homo sapiens (human)
Lineage: Eukaryota; Metazoa; Chordata; Mammalia; Primates; Hominidae
Description: HSALNT0204453
Source: RNAcentral
CUCAAACUCCUGACCUGAAGCAAUCCUCUCAUCUUGGCCUCCCAAAGCACUGGAUUAUUGGUAUAACAUCUCACUAUGAUGGAUCAAAAGAUGUUGUCUAAGUUGUUUGUCAGGAAAUGAAGACUCAGCCUUGAACCUAGCUCAAACCAGUUGAGACCACCAAGCCUUCAAUGUGGGCAUAUAUUCUAAAAGGAAUCUUCCAAUCAGUCUUGUAGCAAUGAGUAAAGUGAAGAUAGAUCACAAUGCUAGGGAAUAAAAUGGAUGAUGCACUUCAGCCAGAAGAUAAGCAAUGCCAAAGAAUGAAAUGGGAUAAGAUCGUCAAAGAAAGUUCUGAAAAAAGAUGCUCAUAAAGAAAUUCUCUGACCUACCUUGCCUGAAACUAGGUCGUAAGAUCCUCAUUCCAGAGAAAUCCUGUACUAUACCUGGAGGCCAAGAAGAAUCUGAACAGUUUCCCCAGUAUAUUACCUUCAGGUAAAACUAAACUGAGUCUCAGUAGGAGGAUAUUUGUAUUUCGUAAUGGAGAGAAUGAAGAGUCACAAUAAAUGGGAAUUAAAAUUAAAUACAAUCCAUACCUGUGCAUCCUGUAUCCACCACCAAUGGAUGGCUGGAAAAUACAGUAUUCGUGGGAUGUUUAUACUGUAUGUGGAGCAAGAGUUGGUAAGAGGCAGGCAGACAAACUUGAAACCAAUUCCCCACAUACUGGGAGACAACUAUAUAUGUCCUUGUGUAUUUUGGGACAGAUAAUCUGACACUACC